AUGCCCCCUCCUUUGACAAACACAUCAAAAUUCAUACACAUACAUUAAUUAGUACAUCCUCGCAAUCCGAGGUAAUAAAAGAGCGUCGAUGCACCCCCAAAGUUAGUUCCCGCCGUUCUUCGUUCCGGGUCAUUUCUCGCGUCGUCUAAACCAUUCAAAAGUUGAAGAAUUUGGUCCUUCUUCUUACUUCUCUCUUCAAGAGAAACUAAUUAAGUUAUCAAACGAGACCUCGAGAAAAGACUACGGUCGACCAGGGGAGGAAGAUUAGAAAUGACAAUGAAUUACCAUGAAAUAUUUGUCAAUAUUUAAUACUUGAUGCAACUUGAAUAGGUGAAUCGAUUAUUAUUUAUAAUAAUAAAACCUUUUUUAAAUCUUUAUGAACAAUUGAAAUCUACUGAUCCCAACUUGUUCUUUUCCAGUUGGAAUCCUUCCCUCUCUUAUAUGAUUGGACGAAUUCGAGAAUCAUCUGGAUAAUUGGAAAUUGUUUUGUUGGAAGAAAGAAGAAAAUGAAGUAUUUCGAGUCAAACCUUCUCUCUUUCUGUUAUUUCCAUCUGGGUUUUGGAAGAGAGUUGGGUUAAAGGCCCCAGAUAAUUGAGAUGAUAUUUCAGUCAUUAAUUUACUGAAAUUUCAUUCCAAUUGCCUUUAACAGAUAUGUAGUUGUCGGGGUGACAACUUUUUGAAAAGAGGGACUAGUUGCGUUUUGGUUAUUUUCCUCUCUCUAAUUUAAAUUUUCACCCCAAUCUCUUUUCAUCUGUAAUAAACACGUUACUAUUAAGUCAAGAGUAUUUAAUUAUAUGAAUCCUAUAUAAAUGAAAGGAAAAUAUUGACCAGCGGUAGCUCUUGUGAUUCAAAGGGAAACUCUAUAUUUCAAUAAAGGGAUGAAAAAUGAA
Molecule: long non-coding RNA, 890 nt
Organism: Diachasma alloeum
Lineage: Eukaryota; Metazoa; Arthropoda; Insecta; Hymenoptera; Braconidae
Exons: 2
Source: RefSeq, a predicted model, not a curated record